CAUCCCGGCGGACCUGCGGGACCCGUUCUACAGGGAUCAGUACUGCGUGGAGCACAUCAAGCCCCCGGUGCUGUCUCUGCUGCUGUCCUCGGAGCUGUACUGCAGGGUGUGUGUGCUGCUGCUGAAGGGCGACCAGACGUCUGCGCUCCGCUCCCCAUCAGGACGUGAUCCAGACGCUCGCACGCCGAGGGAUGUGUGUCAGAGAAGCAGACGACACACCUGUCUCCUGUGACCACCUCUCCUCCACCCCCAUUAAGAUGAGUUCUCAUAUCCCGCUGAUAGACGCUCUGAUGAUGGCGUAUACGCUGGAGAUGAUGGCUACAGAGAGUUGUGGCCAGUGUCAAGCGCUUCUCCUCCUUCUGCGCCUCUAAAGAGCUUCCCUUCGACGUGGAGGACACCAUGCUGUUCUGGAUCAACAAGGUGAUUCUGAAGACGAGAGAGCUCUCCGAGAAGGAGCUCAAGAUCAAACAGCCGCUCUUGGAUUCGCCGUGCCAUCAGAAGGUCUGACCAAUCACGAGUCU
Molecule: long non-coding RNA, 521 nt
Organism: Carassius auratus (goldfish)
Lineage: Eukaryota; Metazoa; Chordata; Actinopteri; Cypriniformes; Cyprinidae
Exons: 3
Source: RefSeq, a predicted model, not a curated record